UAGGGAAUCUUCCGCAAUGGGCGAAAGCCUGACGGUGCAACGCCGCGUGAGUGAUGAAGGUCUUCGGAUCGUAAAACUCUGUUAUUAGGGAAGAACAAAUGUGUAAGUAACUAUGCACGUCUUGACGGUACCUAAUCAGAAAGCCACGGCUAACUACGUGCCAGCAGCCGCGGUAAUACGUAGGUGGCAAGCGUUAUCCGGAAUUAUUGGGCGUAAAGCGCGCGUAGGCGGUUUUUUAAGUCUGAUGUGAAAGCCCACGGCUCAACCGUGGAGGGUCAUUGGAGACUGGAAAACUUGAGUGCAGAAGAGGAAAGUGGAAUUCCAUGUGUAGCAGUGAAAUGCGCAGAGAUAUGGAGGAACACCAGUGGCGAAGGCGACUUUCUGGUCUGUAACUGACGCUGAUGUGCGAAAGCGUGGGGAUCAAACAGG
Molecule: ribosomal RNA, 429 nt
Filed under: Actinomycetes bacterium
Lineage: Bacteria; Bacillati; Actinomycetota; Actinomycetes
Description: Actinobacteria bacterium partial 16S ribosomal RNA
Rfam family: Bacterial small subunit ribosomal RNA
Source: RNAcentral